Picea glauca (white spruce) is the source of this 46-nucleotide non-coding RNA. NCBI's taxonomy places the organism in Eukaryota, Viridiplantae, Streptophyta, Pinopsida, Pinales, Pinaceae. The record is from Rfam.
UUAACGGUGUCUUUAGACACCACCUUUUGUAUUCGAAAUUAUAUUU